RNAcentral lists this microRNA (23 nucleotides) under Gallus gallus (chicken). RNAcentral describes it as "gga-miR-26a-3p". Its record names the gene gga-miR-26a-3p. Lineage: Eukaryota; Metazoa; Chordata; Aves; Galliformes; Phasianidae. The record is from miRBase by way of RNAcentral.
CCUAUUCUUGGUUACUUGCACUG